Molecule: ribosomal RNA, 253 nt
Filed under: uncultured bacterium
Lineage: Bacteria
Description: partial 16S ribosomal RNA
Rfam family: Bacterial small subunit ribosomal RNA
Source: RNAcentral
UACGUAGGUGGCAAGUGUUGUCCGGAAUUAUUGGGCGUAAAGCGCGCGCAGGCGGCCUUUUAAGUCUGAUGUGAAAGCCCACGGCUCAACCGUGGAAGGUCAUUGGAAACUGAAGGGCUUGAGUACAGAAGAGGAAAGCGGAAUUCCACGUGUAGCGGUGAAAUGCGUAGAGAUGUGGAGGAACACCAGUGGCGAAGGCGGCUUUCUGGUCUGUAACUGACGCUGAGGCGCGAAAGCGUGGGGAGCAAACAGG